CCCGCGCAGAGCGGGGAUGCUCCGCACUUCUGCAGCCAGGAGUAAUUAUGCAGCAAACACCGCUCUCAUUAUCCACCGCACUCGAUUCCUUCCUUAACAUGAACCCUGGAUUCCCUUGACAUAUUACCACUAUUCUUCCUAUGAAAACAUACGAGAAGACAGCAUGUGUUUACUGCCGUUGCAACUCAAAUAACCGCUGCGGUGGCUUUCCUUCAACUUGAACAAAAGCCGUUUGAAAAGAAGUAAAACGCACCGAGUCGUGGCGAAAACACUCUACGGCGGCACACCUGGACCGAUGUUCCCCGAAAUCUGGAGCCGCUCCACAAAAGAAUUAGGCAAAAAUCCAAACUUUGGGGUGUUGAGGGUUAUUUUUUGGUGUUUUCAUAUUAAAACAUGCGAUUCUC
This is a long non-coding RNA of Neopsephotus bourkii (Bourke's parrot), 404 nucleotides long. RefSeq lists it as uncharacterized. NCBI's taxonomy places the organism in Eukaryota, Metazoa, Chordata, Aves, Psittaciformes, Psittacidae. The transcript is spliced from 3 exons. The record is from RefSeq and is a predicted model, not a curated record.